This 638-nucleotide ribosomal RNA is filed under the name uncultured bacterium. Its description in RNAcentral is "bacterial SSU rRNA". It matches the Rfam family "Bacterial small subunit ribosomal RNA", at positions 54 to 692 of the family's 1533-position model. The record is from RNAcentral.
CAUGCAAGUCGAGCGGGGUUUAAUAAGGAAGUCUUAGGACGGAAAGAUUAAACCUAGCGGCGGACGGGUGAGUAACACGUGAGCAACCUGCCUUUAGCUGGGGAAUAACACUGGGAAACCAGUGCUAAUACCGCAUAACAUCUAUUCUAGGCAUCUGGAGUAGAUCAAAGGAGAAAUCCGGCAAAAGAUGGGCUCGCGUCCGAUUAGAUAGUUGGUAGGGUAAAGGCCUACCAAGUCAACGAUCGGUAGCCGGACUGAGAGGUUGAACGGCCACAUUGGGACUGAGACACGGCCCAGACUCCUACGGGAGGCAGCAGUGGGGAAUAUUGGGCAAUGGGGGAAACCCUGACCCAGCAACGCCGCGUGAAGGAAGAAGGUCUUCGGAUUGUAAACUUCUUUGAUCAGGGACGAAGAAAUGACUGUACCUGAAGAACAAGUCACGGCUAACUACGUGCCAGCAGCCGCGGUAAUACGUAGGUGGCAAGCGUUAUCCGGAUUUACUGGGUGUAAAGGGCGUGUAGGCGGGUCUGUAAGUCAGAUGUGAAAUCUCCGGGCUUAACUCGGAAGGGUCAUCUGAAACUACGGAUCUUGAGUACUGGAGAGGAUAGUGGAAUUCCUAGUGUAGCGGUAAAUGCGUA